AAAGGGAACCCCAGGGCUGAGCACUUAAAGCAGCGCCUCGUGCCCAGCAAGCCCCCGAGCGUUCGCUCGUGGCUGAGCAGCGGGUGGACGUCAUCCCGGGAUGCGUCUGCAUCCUCGCUGGCUGAACUGGCCGAACUCCGUCUUCCUUGGUCUGGCCGCGGCGCCCCGCUGGGCGGUGUGGUGGCAGCCGGCCGCCCUGCCGGAGGCACUGAGGCAGGACCGGAGGCUGGCGGGGCGGCCCCGUGUGCGGGCGCGACAGGAGACGUCACAGGAGUGUGCCCUCCGCUGCCGCGUCCAGGACCUCUCCCGUCCGUCAGCUCCUUGCACGGGUGUGCGCCUCGUGGCCACGCCGACCGUUGGCCCCACCUGUCGUCGUGGCUCUUUGAAGACCUGCGAGCGUAACUGCUUCACAAGUGCCCUCACCCGCAGAAGCAGGGUGGGGUGUCGAGCUGGACUGAAAUGGGGCUGCCCUGUGCACAGCGGCUGGAGGCGGGGCCCUGGCCUGUUACUGUCCCCAGGAACUGUGGCGUCGCAGCCGAGUGAACAGCGAAGGGCCGUGAAGGCCCCUGCUUAGGUGUCCCUAAGGUGCCGGGCUUGCCCCUUCUGCCACUGCAGACGCCGUCCCGGCGGCCCUGGGCCCGUGGGUGAAGUGGCUGUGAGCAGGCCUGGGAGGCUGGCGGCUGCACAGCGGCCGAGGAGGAGGAGGAGGAGGAGGAGGGCCCCGCUCCGGCUUCUCUCGGGAGCAGCUGGUGGACGGCCUCCCAGGCUGGGCUCUUGCCAGCACGGAGACCAGCACCCGAGCCUCUGCUUCGGAGCCCGCCGCUGGCCUUUCGUCGCUGGCGGGUAGUUAACAGCAUUUCUCAGGGACAGUUCCCUCCGUGAGCUGACAGCAGCUCCUGGCACGCGAGCGGGGUCGGCGUCACCAGGACCAGCUGAGCACGUGCCGGGCGUUCUCGCAGACGGUCUUCGGUGUUCAUUCUCAACGCCGUGGGCUAGGUACGACUGCCCCACUUUACGGCACUGUAUGGCAUGCAGGAUCUUAGCUCAACAACCAGGGAUCGAACGAUCGAACCCGCGCCCCCUGCAGCAGAAGCUCGGAGUCUUAACCACUGGACCGCCAGGGAAGUCCCUUCCUCUAAUAUGGAAACACAUAAAAAUGCAAGUGCUUAUCCCUGUA
This is a long non-coding RNA of Balaenoptera ricei (Rice's whale), 1177 nucleotides long. RefSeq lists it as uncharacterized. NCBI's taxonomy places the organism in Eukaryota, Metazoa, Chordata, Mammalia, Artiodactyla, Balaenopteridae. The transcript is spliced from 2 exons. The record is from RefSeq and is a predicted model, not a curated record.